RNAcentral lists this non-coding RNA (75 nucleotides) under human gut metagenome. RNAcentral describes it as "Cyclic di-GMP-I riboswitch". It matches the Rfam family "c-di-GMP-I riboswitch aptamer", at positions 11 to 83 of the family's 87-position model. Rfam says of the family: GEMM was predicted in a large-scale screen for bacterial structured RNA regulatory elements. The record is from RNAcentral.
UUGGCAAAACUGGCGAAAGCCAGCGACGCAAAGCGAUGAGUCUAAGGCGAAGGUUCGCUAUGAUUGUCAGGCUGC